UACGGAGGGUGCAAGCGUUAAUCGGAAUUACUGGGCGUAAAGCGUGCGCAGGCGGUUUGUUAAGUCUGCUGUGAAAUCCCCGAGCUCAACUUGGGAAUUGCAGUGGAUACUGGCAGGCUGGAGUAUGGUAGAGGAAGGUGGAAUUCCCGGUGUAGCAGUGAAAUGCGUAGAGAUCGGGAGGAACACCAGUGGCGAAGGCGGCCUCGUGGACCAAUACUGACGCUCAUGCACGAAAGCGUGGGGAGCAAACAGG
RNAcentral lists this ribosomal RNA (253 nucleotides) under uncultured bacterium. Its description in RNAcentral is "partial 16S ribosomal RNA". It matches the Rfam family "Bacterial small subunit ribosomal RNA", at positions 524 to 776 of the family's 1533-position model. The record is from RNAcentral.